UGCAUAUCCAAAAAGCGGAGCAAAAGAAACUAACAAGGAUUCCCUUAGUAACGGCGAGUGAACCGGGAAAAGCUCAAAUUUGUAAUCUGGCUGUCUUCGAUAGUCCGAGUUGUAAUCUAUAGACGUGUUUUCCGUGCUGGACCGUAUCUAAGUCCCUUGGAACAGGGUAUCAAAGAGGGUGACAAUCCCGUGCUUGAUACGACCACCAGUGCUCUGUGAUACACGCUCUACGAGUCGAGUUGUUUGGGAAUGCAGCUCAAAAUGGGUGGUAAAUUCCAUCUAAAGCUAAAUAUUGGCGAGAGACCGAUAGCGAACAAGUACCGUGAGGGAAAGAUGAAAAGCACUUUGGAAAGAGAGUUAAACAGUACGUGAAAUUGUUGAAAGGGAAACGAUUGAAGUCAGUCGUGUUCUUUGGAUUCAGCUAGUUCUUCUAGUCUACUUCCUUUGAACGGGUCAACAUCAGUUUUGUCCGGUGGAUAAAGAUAGUAGGAAUGUAGCUCCCUCGGGAGUGUUAUAGACUAUUAUUGCAUGCACUGGGUGAGACUGAGGACUGCAGCUCGCCUUUUGGCCGGCCUUCGGGUACGUCGAGCUAGGAUGUGACAUAGCGGG
This 609-nucleotide ribosomal RNA is filed under the name Cutaneotrichosporon moniliiforme. RNAcentral describes it as "eukaryotic LSU rRNA". It matches the Rfam family "Eukaryotic large subunit ribosomal RNA", at positions 37 to 623 of the family's 3401-position model. The record is from RNAcentral. Lineage: Eukaryota; Fungi; Basidiomycota; Tremellomycetes; Trichosporonales; Trichosporonaceae.